RNAcentral lists this unclassified non-coding RNA (307 nucleotides) under plant metagenome. RNAcentral describes it as "partial contains 5.8S ribosomal RNA, internal transcribed spacer 2, and large subunit ribosomal RNA". The stretch from base 1 to 105 matches the Rfam family "5.8S ribosomal RNA", at positions 50 to 154 of the family's 154-position model. The record is from RNAcentral.
GAAAUGCGAUAAGUAGUGUGAAUUGCAGAAUUCAGUGAAUCAUCGAAUCUUUGAACGCACAUUGCGCCCUUUGGUAUUCCAAAGGGCAUGCCUGUCCGAGCGUCAUUUGUACCCUCAAGCUUUGCUUGGUGUUGGGCGUCUUGUCUCUAGCUUUGCUGGAGACUCGCCUUAAAGUAAUUGGCAGCCGGCCUACUGGUUUCGGAGCGCAGCACAAGUCGCACUCUCUAUCAGCAAAGGUCUAGCAUCCAUUAAGCCUUUUUUCAACUUUUGACCUCGGAUCAGGUAGGGAUACCCGCUGAACUUAAGC